This 451-nucleotide ribosomal RNA is filed under the name uncultured bacterium. Its description in RNAcentral is "partial 16S ribosomal RNA". It matches the Rfam family "Bacterial small subunit ribosomal RNA", at positions 28 to 507 of the family's 1533-position model. The record is from RNAcentral.
GAUGAAUGCUGGCGGCGUGCCUAACACAUGCAAGUCGAGCGGCAGCGAGGGGUGCUUGCACCCUGUCGGCGAGCGGCGAACGGCUGAGUAACGCGUGGGAAUUUGCCCCAAAGUGAGGAAUAACUGCCCGAAAGGGUAGCUAAUGCCGCAUAUGGUCUUCGGAUUAAAGGAUUUAUCCGCUUUGGGAGAAGCCUGCGUUGGAUUAGGUUGUUGGUAGGGUAAUGGCCUACCAAGCCGACGAUCCAUAGCUGGUCUGAGAGGAUGAUCAGCCAGACUGGAACUGAGACACGGUCCAGACUCCUACGGGAGGCAGCAGUGAGGAAUCUUCCACAAUGGGCGAAAGCCUGAUGGAGCAACGCCGCGUGAAGGAUGAAGGCCUUCGGGUUGUAAACUUCUUUUAUGAGUGAAGAAUAUGACGGUAACUCAUGAAUAAGCACCGGCUAACUACGUG